GAUGAACGCUGGCGGCGUGCUUAACACAUGCAAGUCGAACGAUGAAGCCCAGCUUGCUGGGUGGAUUAGUGGCGAACGGGUGAGUAACACGUGAGUAACCUGCCCUUAACUCUGGGAUAAGCCUGGGAAACUGGGUCUAAUACCGGAUAGGAGCGUCCACCGCAUGGUGGGUGUUGGAAAGAUUUAUCGGUUUUGGAUGGACUCUCGGCCUAUCAGCUUGUUGGUGAGGUAAUGGCUCACCAAGGCGACGACGGGUAGCCGGCCUGAGAGGGUGACCGGCCACACUGGGACUGAGACACGGCCCAGACUCCUUCGGGAGGCAGCAGUGGGGAAUAUUGCACAAUGGGCGCAAGCCUGAUGCAGCGACGCCGCGUGAGGGAUGACGGCCUUCGGGUUGUAAACCUCUUUCAGUAGGGAAGAAGCGAAAGUGACGGUACCUGCAGAAGAAGCACCGGCUAACUACGUG
RNAcentral lists this ribosomal RNA (466 nucleotides) under uncultured bacterium. RNAcentral's name for it is "partial 16S ribosomal RNA". It matches the Rfam family "Bacterial small subunit ribosomal RNA", at positions 28 to 507 of the family's 1533-position model. The record is from RNAcentral.